RNAcentral lists this long non-coding RNA (188 nucleotides) under Laticauda laticaudata (blue-ringed sea krait). Its description in RNAcentral is "lncRNA (ENSLLTG00000002693.1)". The record is from RNAcentral. Lineage: Eukaryota; Metazoa; Chordata; Lepidosauria; Squamata; Elapidae.
UGAAGUCCAACACAACCAGAAGGCAGUGACCUGAAAAAGACUGAUUGAGUUACCACUGCUAGUGAAUUUACUUCCAAGGACAUUGCAAACAACUGCAGAGUUAAUGCUAAUAUUUUGUCUGGUACCCUAGAAGAAUUUCAUGCAUGGCAAUCUUCCCUCUAUGAACUCCAUGAUGUGCUUAAUGCAUG